GAUGAACGCUGGCGGCGUGCCUAAUACAUGCAAGUCGAGCGAACGGACGAGAAGCUUGCUUCUCUGAUGUUAGCGGCGGACGGGUGAGUAACACGUGGAUAACCUACCUAUAAGACUGGGAUAACUUCGGGAAACCGGAGCUAAUACCGGAUAAUAUUUUGAACCGCAUGGUUCAAAAGUGAAAGACGGUCUUGCUGUCACUUAUAGAUGGAUCCGCGCUGCAUUAGCUAGUUGGUAAGGUAACGGCUUACCAAGGCAACGAUGCAUAGCCGACCUGAGAGGGUGAUCGGCCACACUGGAACUGAGACACGGUCCAGACUCCUACGGGAGGCAGCAGUAGGGAAUCUUCCGCAAUGGGCGAAAGCCUGACGGAGCAACGCCGCGUGAGUGAUGAAGGUCUUCGGAUCGUAAAACUCUGUUAUUAGGGAAGAACAUAUGUGUAAGUAACUGUGCACAUCUUGACGGUACCUAAUCAGAAAGCCACGGCUAACUACGUGCCAGCAGCCGCGGUAAUACGUAGGUGGCAAGCGUUAUCCGGAAUUAUUGGGCGUAAAGCGCGCGUAGGCGGUUUUUUAAGUCUGAUGUGAAAGCCCACGGCUCAACCGUGGAGGGUCAUUGGAAACUGGAAAACUUGAGUGCAGAAGAGGAAAGUGGAAUUCCAUGUGUAGCGGUGAAAUGCGCAGAGAUAUGGAGGAACACCAGUGGCGAAGGCGACUUUCUGGUCUGUAACUGACGCUGAUGUGCGAAAGCGUGGGGAUCAAACAGGAUUAGAUACCCUGGUAGUCCACGCCGUAAACGAUGAGUGCUAAGUGUUAGGGGGUUUCCGCCCCUUAGUGCUGCAGCUAACGCAUUAAGCACUCCGCCUGGGGAGUACGACCGCAAGGUUGAAACUCAAAGGAAUUGACGGGGACCCGCACAAGCGGUGGAGCAUGUGGUUUAAUUCGAAGCAACGCGAAGAACCUUACCAAAUCUUGACAUCCUUUGACAACUCUAGAGAUAGAGCCUUCCCCUUCGGGGGACAAAGUGACAGGUGGUGCAUGGUUGUCGUCAGCUCGUGUCGUGAGAUGUUGGGUUAAGUCCCGCAACGAGCGCAACCCUUAAGCUUAGUCGCCAUCAUUAAGUUGGGCACUCUAAGUUGACUGCCGGUGACAAACCGGAGGAAGGUGGGGAUGACGUCAAAUCAUCAUGCCCCUUAUGAUUUGGGCUACACACGUGCUACAAUGGACAAUACAAAGGGCAGCGAAACCGCGAGGUCAAGCAAAUCCCAUAAAGUUGUUCUCAGUUCGGAUUGUAGUCUGCAACUCGACUACAUGAAGCUGGAAUCGCUAGUAAUCGUAGAUCAGCAUGCUACGGUGAAUACGUUCCCGGGUCU
This 1372-nucleotide ribosomal RNA is filed under the name uncultured bacterium. Its description in RNAcentral is "bacterial SSU rRNA". It matches the Rfam family "Bacterial small subunit ribosomal RNA", at positions 28 to 1381 of the family's 1533-position model. The record is from RNAcentral.